Molecule: ribosomal RNA, 467 nt
Filed under: uncultured bacterium
Lineage: Bacteria
Description: bacterial SSU rRNA
Rfam family: Bacterial small subunit ribosomal RNA
Source: RNAcentral
AGGACGAACGCUGGCGGCGUGCUUAAAACAUGCAAGUCGAACGGACUUCUCAUGAAGCUUGCGAUUGAGAAGUUAGUGGCGGACGGGUGAGUAACGCGUGGGCAACCUGCCCCUGAGCCCGGGAUAACAGUUCGAAAGGACUGCUAAGACCGGAUAUACUUGCGGGGAAGCAUUUCACUGCAAGGAAAGGGAACGCUCAGGGAUGGGCCCGCGUCCCAUUAGCUAGUUGGUGAGGUAACGGCCCACCAAGGCGACGAUGGGUAGCCGGCCUGAGAGGGUGAACGGCCACACUGGGACUGAGACACGGCCCAGACUCCUACGGGAGGCAGCAGUUGGGAAUCUUCGGCAAUGGGCGCAAGCCUGACCGAGCAACGCCGCGUGAGUGAUGAAGGUUUUCGGAUUGUAAAGCUCUGUCUUCCGGGACGAUAAUGACGGUACCGGAGGAGGAAGCCACGGCUAACUACGUG